This 408-nucleotide ribosomal RNA is filed under the name uncultured bacterium. RNAcentral's name for it is "bacterial SSU rRNA". It matches the Rfam family "Bacterial small subunit ribosomal RNA", at positions 28 to 434 of the family's 1533-position model. The record is from RNAcentral.
GACGAACGCUUGCGGCGUGCCUAAGAAAUGCAAGUCGAACGGAUGUAGGGAGUAAUCCCUUCAUUAGUGGCGAACGGUCGCGUAACACGUAGGCAACCUGCCCGGAAGUGGGGGAUAACAGACCGAAAGGUCUGCUAAUACCGCAUGUGGUCCGCUGGUCGCAUGACUGGCGGUCUAAAGCUUAAUGCGCUUCCGGAUGGGCUUGCGGCCUAUCAGGUAGUUGGUGGGGUAAUGGCCUACCAAGCCGACGACGGGUAGCUGGUCUGAGAGGACGAUCAGCCGGAUUGGGACUGAGAUACGGCCCAGACUCCUACGGGGGGCAGCAAUUAGGAAUCUUGCGCAAGUGGGGGAAACCCGUGACGCAGCGACGCCGCGUGCGGGACGAAGGCAUUCGUGUCGUAAACCGUC